Molecule: ribosomal RNA, 254 nt
Filed under: uncultured bacterium
Lineage: Bacteria
Description: partial 16S ribosomal RNA
Rfam family: Bacterial small subunit ribosomal RNA
Source: RNAcentral
CACGUAGGGGGCGAGCGUUGUCCGGAAUCAUUGGGCGUAAAGAGCUCGUAGGCGGCUCGGUAAGUCGGGUGUGAAACCCCCAGGCUCAACCUGGGGACGCCACCCGAUACUGCUGUGGCUAGAGUCCAGUAGGGGAGUGUGGAAUUCCCGGUGUAGCGGUGAAAUGCGCAGAUAUCGGGAGGAACACCAGCGGCGAAGGCGGCACUCUGGGCUGGAACUGACGCUGAGGAGCGAAAGCAUGGGUAGCAAACAGG